UAAAAUAUUCAACAUAUGCCACAUUCUGUGCCAUUAAACACACCUUAACAAAUUUUAAAGAAUAGAAAUCACACAGGUACGCUCUCAGGCCACAGUGGAAUUAAAUAAGAAACAUUAACAG
Long non-coding RNA from Lynx canadensis (Canada lynx), 121 nucleotides. RefSeq lists it as uncharacterized. Lineage: Eukaryota; Metazoa; Chordata; Mammalia; Carnivora; Felidae. The record is from RefSeq and is a predicted model, not a curated record. The transcript has 3 exons.